UUUUUGAGAACUUAGCAAUUGUUAUUCAAAAUCAAGGUUUAUAUUGGUGCAUUAGAUUUUGUAAAAUAUAAUUAGGGCUAGUAAUUUUGGCUAGCUUGUGCAAUUGGUAUGAUGACUACGGUUGAAAAUUUGAUAGUAUUUGGAUUAUUGGGUGCUAAGUGUAUACAAAAUUUUGUAAUAAUCUAAUGGCGUGGUUUAGAGAUAUCUAAUUUUUAGCACAAGAGAGUUUUAGAAGGUGGCAGUUUGAGGUUGGAUAGGAUUUUUGUGAUAUCUUGAGAUCUAUUAGUUGGAUCAAGGUAAAAUUUGGCAUAGUAUUGAAGGACUUGAAGAUAAAGUUGCACACCAAUUUAGAGUCAAAGUUAAUGGUUGAAAAGGAAAAAAUCACAGCUAGGAUUUCUGCUUGACUUUUCUAGUUGGUGGCUGAGUGGCACCAUAGUACAAUUUUUGGAGGUUUUUU
This 457-nucleotide long non-coding RNA is filed under the name Physcomitrium patens. RNAcentral describes it as "long non-coding RNA (PPAT_LNC007352)". The record is from RNAcentral. Lineage: Eukaryota; Viridiplantae; Streptophyta; Bryopsida; Funariales; Funariaceae.